AACGAACGCUGGCGGCAGGCCUAACACAUGCAAGUCGAACGCUCCGCAAGGAGAGUGGCAGACGGGUGAGUAACGCGUGGGAAUUUCCCCCAAGGUUCGGAAUAACUGAGGGAAACUUCAGCUAAUACCGAAUGGUACCUGGCGGUUAAAGAUUUAUCGCCUUGGGAUGAGCCCGCGUUGGAUUAGCUAGUUGGUGAGGUAACGGCUCACCAAGGCUCUGAUCCAUAGCUGGUCUGAGAGGACGACCAGCCACACAGGGACUGAGACACGGCCCAGACUCCUACGGGAGGCAGCAGUGGGGAAUCUUGGACAAUGGGCGCAAGCCUGGUCCAGCCAUGCCGCGUGGGCGAUGAAGGUCUUCGGAUUGUAAAGCCCUUUUGGCGGGGACGAUAAUGACGGUACCCGCAGAAUAAGCUCCGGCUAACUUCGUGCCAGCAGCCGCGGUAAUACGAAGGGGGCUAGCGUUGUUCGGAAUUACUGGGCGUAAAGCGUGCGCAGGCGGCUUUUC
RNAcentral lists this ribosomal RNA (508 nucleotides) under uncultured bacterium. RNAcentral describes it as "bacterial SSU rRNA". It matches the Rfam family "Bacterial small subunit ribosomal RNA", at positions 28 to 584 of the family's 1533-position model. The record is from RNAcentral.